AUGUAACACGGCGUACACUCCGGUUCCUCCGCGCCUUACGCAGCCACCUGGCGACUGCUCGCUACGUUCUGGUAACC
This 77-nucleotide small RNA is filed under the name Xanthomonas dyei pv. eucalypti. Its description in RNAcentral is "sX9 sRNA". It matches the Rfam family "Xanthomonas sRNA sX9". RNAcentral also lists the same sequence under 2 other names. Lineage: Bacteria; Pseudomonadati; Pseudomonadota; Gammaproteobacteria; Lysobacterales; Lysobacteraceae. The record is from RNAcentral.